GUGAAUCAUCAAAUUUUUGAACGCAAAUUGCGCUUCCUGGCAUCCCGGGAAGUAUGCCUGUUUGAGGGUCAGUAUUAAUAAAAAAUCGGUUUGGUUCCAAAUUGUGCCGUUUCCGGAGUUUGGCCUAUCUCACCAUUUUUGGUUAAGAGGCUUAAAAUUACCCUUUUUUGCGCAUUUUUAACGGUACAUAAUUUUUUUUUAUUCUUUUAUCCUAAUUCCAAAAUUCUUAUUAGAUCCGUC
RNAcentral lists this unclassified non-coding RNA (240 nucleotides) under Glomeraceae sp. RNAcentral describes it as "partial contains 5.8S ribosomal RNA and internal transcribed spacer 2". The stretch from base 1 to 71 matches the Rfam family "5.8S ribosomal RNA", at positions 84 to 154 of the family's 154-position model. Lineage: Eukaryota; Fungi; Glomeromycota; Glomeromycetes; Glomerales; Glomeraceae. The record is from RNAcentral.